RNAcentral lists this long non-coding RNA (1726 nucleotides) under Equus asinus (donkey). RNAcentral describes it as "lncRNA (ENSEASG00005030347.1)". The record is from RNAcentral. Lineage: Eukaryota; Metazoa; Chordata; Mammalia; Perissodactyla; Equidae.
CUGCGCACACCAUGGCCCCGAGCCCUGGCUCACCCCAAAGGCCCAGAAGCCGAAGAUGAUGAUGAUGAAGUCGACGACAUCAGCCAGGAACAUGAGGGCGUACACGUCAGUGGCCGCACGGUACUUGGUGUGCAAAAUGUCGUGGAAGAAACGCUGCAGGGGCUGGUACACACUCUGGGCCCUGCGGGUGUGUUGGGUGGUGGUCAGCUUGGCGCUCGCCUCUGUGCCUCCCACCUGCCCCACGGCCCCUGGCCGCUCCCAGGCUGGAUCACUCACAGGAACAGGCAGAAGCUCUGCAGCCGGAGCCCGGCCUCCCUCACUCUUUCCCUGGGGUGGCUCUGCCUCUUCUCUCUCCCUGUGGCUGCUGCUUUCUCCUUCUCCUGUUCCCCAUCCUCGGCUUCUGUAGGGGGGCAGCCACUGAUGACAAAAGUCCACGGGGGGCUCACAUCACCCCCUUUACAGACCAGCAGACUGAGUACAGGGAGCUCCCCAGGGCCGCCAGCAGCGGUUGUGGGUGGACAGGGCCAUCAUACCAGUGGUUGCCAGGCCUUUGGGCCCUGUGCUCUCCUUCCUCCUCCUCCUAAAACGCAGACUGAUGCGCCUCUUGUCGCGGGGCUUGAGGUCCACUGGGGACUCUGGGGGCCCGUCACUCACUGCCACCUGGAUGUCGUCCUCGAUGGGGGCCACAGCCACCCCUGGCUCCUCCUGGGGCCCCGUGCCCACCUCAGUCUGGAGUCCCAGCAGGGCCGGCUCCUCCUCAGCCCCCUUCUUCCCACUGCCCCUGUCAUGGUCCUUGGACAGCGGCUCCUCCUCGUGGUCCCAGAGGCCGUAGCACUGUCAGCUGGGAACGGUGGAAGAACAGGGCCAGGAGCUGCACCAGGUCGCACUUGAUAUAGCUGUCGCUCUUCUCCAGGCCCAGGAUGCGUGGCGGGAAGUAGGGCUUGUUCUCAUAGCGCCGAAGCACCGUGUGGCUGUUCCAGGGGAAGAAGCCAAACUGGAACAAGUACUUGGUGACCACCGUGACCUGCAGGGGAGAGGGGUCAGCACAGCAGGGCCGGGCCCCCACCCAAGCCCCUCCGGUCACCACCCACCUCGGUGAAGACGAUGGCCGUCAUCCAGAAGCGCUUGCUGGGCCGCGGGAUGGACAGCAUGGCCCACAGGAAGACCAGCACAGGCAGCACGAGGGAGGCAGCCGAGGCGGUGACCAUGUGGUUGAGGACGAUGAUGAAGUAGCAGAGCAGCUCCGAGUGGGCGGCCACGCACUGGUACCCGGCCUGCAGCAACCGCAGCACCCGGCCCUGCCCCUCUGCGAACCGCUCGGCCUCCUCCAGCUCCGGGAUGCGCAGGCACCUGCGGGGACCACACUCAGGCCCCCGCCGUGUCCGCAAAGGCCGGUCUGCCAGCCUAGCGCAGGCAGCUUCUGCGCCAGGGCUGCCCUGAGGCCAGGGCCCACCUGCCCACCCGCCUCCACCCCUUGCCAUGCACCUGUGGAGGAGCAGCUCGCUGGCCGUGCGCGUCCAGAUGUGAGUGUUGGCGGGAAGCUCCGAGGAGCCAUGCAGGGCCACCCUGGACUCGGGUGGUGCCGAAGAGCAGCAGGUAGAAGCAGGCCAGCAGGUAGCCCAGCCCGAAGAUGCUGAUGCGGGUGGCCCCCGUGACGAACACCACCACCAGCACCAGCCAGAAGAGGUAGCGGAAGACGGCCACCUUCAGCAUGUCGAGGUAGGAC